This is a non-coding RNA of Oryctolagus cuniculus (rabbit), 5968 nucleotides long. NCBI's taxonomy places the organism in Eukaryota, Metazoa, Chordata, Mammalia, Lagomorpha, Leporidae. The record is from RefSeq and is a predicted model, not a curated record.
CAAAUUUCUAUAUCUAGACCGAGGUGGUAUACACAAAGGAUUUAUUUGCCUUAUAAUAAUUUUUGUAGUACACACACAAAGCAACCAUAUAGUGUGUGUGUGUGUGUGUGUGUGUGUGGUUUUUCUCUGUGUUUUAAUAUACAGCAAGCUUAAUUUUUUAAAACAUUUUUCAUUACUGCAGUCAAAGGGUCAAAAGUAACUUGUUAGGGACUAAUUAUAUAAAGCAAUAUGUAGAGUUAAGUUUUGAGGUACUCAAGAUUGAUUAAUUCAAUAAUUCCAUUAUUUUUGCUGGUAGGCAUUGAAUACUGUUUCAGGUAUGUUGAAUGCCACACAUAGUAUGUAGUAAACAUUUACCAAAUAUUAAUUAUCAUAGAAAAGUCUUACAUCUAGUUGCACAUCAGAAUAAUUUGAGAGCCUUUAAAAAAUGCUCACACCUUGGACCCAUCCUCAGAAAUUGCCUACUCACUCUGAAGCACAAGUUUGAGUUCUCCCCAAAUAAUUCUAAUGUAUUACCAGGGAAUUAUCCACUACUAUUUUAGUGGGUGUUGGAAGUCUACCCUCAGUUUAAGUAUGUUAAAAUACCUUUCAAACUAGACACAGUUAAUUAAGGAGUAAAUUGUGUGCUACUCAUUUUUCUCAAUUCUGUGAGUUUACAUUUCUCUUUUUAAAAAUUUCAGUACAACAGAAAACUAAGCACAAGAAAUUCAGAAAAGUCCAUAAUUUUGAGAUACCUUGAUAUUCAUAAAUAGAAUCACUAAAAAAAUUUUUGUAUGUAUUUGUAACCCUGUAUUUUACAAUGUGUUGAUUGCAGGUUACAUUAUUUAGUAAAUAUCAAAGUCAGUGCCUCAAAUAAUUUUGGUUGCUCUUUAGAUGUCACAGUCAUGUCAUGAAACGAUUCCUUUCAGACAAAUUAGCAUUUUUGUCAGUAUAGGAUACAUUUAAUAUAGAUUAAAAAUAUCUUUUAUCUACAUCAAAAUCUGAAAAUUAUUUCUCAUAGAAUAAUCUCUCUGAAAAUAUAUGUAAAAUACAUCUAAAAUAUUAAAACCCUAUUUCAUAAGCUUUAUGAAAGCAACAUUCAUGGAUGAAAGUCUAAUUGUAUAGAUGAUUUGGGAACUAAUUCUUGGUCAUGGAAACCUUUUCCUUCGAAUCUCCAUAGUCUUCCCAUCAAAAACAGCAAAGUAACAAAUUCAUCAAAUACCGAAACUACUGCAAAUGAUAAACCCAAGGCUGAAAUGGGAGUGUAAUCCUCUUUGUUCAUUGGACACUUGUAGUUGCUUUACUCCUUUUAUCCUCAGGGCUCUUUACCAGAAUAUAUGCCUAUGGAGUGACAAGUCGAUUCUCCUUUCCUCCCAAGAGCACCCCCCUUGGCCAAGUACACACAAAAAGGACCUCUAUUAACUUAAUUCUAUCUGCAAUUUGUGUACGUGACCCAAAUCACCUCAAAGUAAAUGAUGAUUAGUUGUCCCAACCAUGGAACGACUAAGACUGGAAUCACACUUGGGACCCAAGGGAGAAGGUAGAACUGAGAAGGACUUGUAUGUAGCACCUGCCCACACCAUGCUCUGGGUGACCAACAGCAUCUCCAUGGGGCACUGAAACAAGGUUGGAAGAUCACUGAGAGCUGUUUACACAACUGGAACCAUUCCAGCCCAACUCAAGUGAAGCAAACAGCAGUGAAAGGGGUCUCUAUUCCAUUCAUCCAACAAAAACAGUGUGAAGUGGACAUCUUGGGAAGUAAAUCACCAGGAACGGAAGCUGGGCUAACCACCCAGUGGAGGAAGAGCAGUGAGGACCUGAAUGAACACAGAAAGGCUGGUAUGGUGAUUGGGACAUCUACACAUUGUUGUAUUUCUUUAGUAAUUGUCGAUUCCCUGCUGCUUUGAAUAUUCUGAUUUCAAUGCUAUUGAUGCAGUGUUAACUUUUCCUAGAGUCUGAUUAGAGGGCAACACAGCUUAUCAGAGUGAAGGAAGCUCAAGAUAUAAGAGUAAGCUAUUGGUACUGACAGCUAUUGACAGCUGAAUUGUUCAAUGUGUGAGGCCCAGCAAACCAUUUAUUCAUAACUAUCAGUGCAUGUCCUUUUGUCCCCUUCAGACUAAGAUGCUUGCACAAUGUACUGAUUAUUCAAAUAUACAGGUGAUUUGUUGAUAUUUUGCAAGAGGACAAUUGUGUAUACUCUAGGCAGAUUAUCUGUGGCAAGGAUGAAGAAAGUGCAGUUGUAAACAAUGAAACAUCUGAAUUCUGGCGUCAUUUGCAGGAAAACACAGCACCAAGAUGCUGUCUUCAAUGGUCCCCAGUCAGUGACUCAGAGCAAACAUGUCAUGUUGAUCAUGAGAUUAACAGACUUUCCACAGGCAGAUCCAGCAAACAGAGAGAUUGAAACGACUCUAAAACAGACUACAAACUGCCGUGGUCCUCUGUGGCAUCCAGCUGUUUUCUCCUCUAUGUGUGCUAGAUUGCUACAUCAGAUAUUUCUUUUCUUAUUAGCAGAAGCAGUGAGUCAUACUUCUCUGAAAUAGAUGCCAGUUAUUUUAAAAAAUGCAAAGGUAAGUUGAGAUGCAACUUGAUGUGAGAAACAAAUGUGUAUUUCAAACUUAUGGAAAGAAAUAAUUUUAGGUGGGUGUGGAACUCUUCACUGAAGCAAUGCCUUUUGCCCCCUCUUCUUCCUCAUGUACAUGUGCAUGACACCAUCAAGGUUCUUUUUUCAUGACAGGCAUACGCUCUAUGAGGGCUUUAAUCAGUUAUUGGGCAAAGCGUGCUUUUCACUUUCCUCAGAUUCCUCCAGCAGCCUUCUAUGAAACAAUACAAGGAAGGACAUUAGGAAAUCUUAACACAUCACAGAUUGCUGCCAAAUUGUCAGCUGUUGCCGGAUGAAUGGUGAGCCCAAGACACAUUUUUAGCCUCUGGGCUAACCACUUCGAAUGACACAUCUAUAUACAGUUGUCCAGUUAAUAUUAGUAUAAGUCAUCACGGCUGUCAUAAAUAACGCAACUUAACAAAACUAAGAGUGCAGUGAUGACUCUCCCUGGAAUGCGAUGAGAGGACUGUAAUCAGGACAGUUACUGCUGGAGAUCAGUCACAAGCCCAAGCUCGUCCUUGGAGACUCUUGCAAGCGUUGCUCUUCUUCUUGCUUCGAGAACAGAGUCACAUUCUAGAGACUUGAGCCUCAGACGGAUAACAAUUGCUUCUUUUCCAGAAGGCAGAUCAUACCAAUUGUAGAUGAGGAGGAUUAAAAGGCAUCUACAUAAAUUCCACGUGGACACAGAUGAUAGUGUUGUACUGAGGGAUGUCAUUGCCAGAGGUCUCCUGAUCCAGAGACAAGUGCUAGCCCUGCACCCCAGAGGACUAUUAACUUUUACACUUAUGAUUUCACACUGGAGGCAUCUGUUGUUGCUUAAAAAGACAAAUGCAAAUUCUGGAAAAUUAAUUUCCCUUUAAAUACAACUGAAGAGGCAUCUUUAGCCUCUUGCAAAUGCAGUCUUUUAAAGAAGAUCUUCCAAGAUUAGCAGAAAAGUAAAGUAAAUGUGGCAGUAGAGCACAUUAAGAAUGUUAUGCUUUUGUGAAGUAAGUCAAAGGAUGAACAUGUGAUUUUAUGUAACAUUUUGUAAUGCCUAUUUGCAAAUGCCACUGUGUGAAAAUUUCAUUUAUUUAUAUUUCUUUUGAAAAAAAUUAAAACCUAUCCCUCAGUAGCAAAUUAAAAUGAAAACUUAAGUCUUUUAUCAGGAUGACUAAACCACUAAAUAGUUACAUAAUUGUGGUUUGAUUCUGGAUAUCGCUCUACCUAUGUAAUUUGUUUUUAAAACUUCAAAAGUCAUAUUUAAUUGCUUUCCAUAAAAUAAAAGCUUUUGAAUACAAGACUGGUAAUUCAUAAUAAAAACAAAUUACUGUAUUUUUCCAGUGAUUUGCCUAUUAGUUUGUGAACUACUUUAAAACUUACUUAACACUGUGGGAACCAAAUAUUAACAACAAAGAUUAACAGCUUUUGAAUAAUUUUCUGUAUUUAAGGAAACAUAGUUAAAUUAUUCUGUUAUUACUCCUGUAUUUGACAAUGCUUGUGUAGAUUUUUCUGCUUUAUGUUAAGCUUAGAAUGAAGGAACCUGGAUGGCAGCCCUAUUUCAAAAACCUGGAUAAGGGAUCGUCGGCCUGUCCUGAAACCUGACUGCACCUCAACCAGGUUUCCUCUGAAGCUGCUACAUUUCCCAUUUCUUCUGUGCCCUCUGCUUGAACACAGGCACUAGCCAUAAAGGGCUUAUAGGAAGACAGGACGAGGGCCAGAAACAGUUAUGCGCCUGUUUCUUCACUGCUGCUGUUUUCCUGAAAGGACAAAUUGAGGCUUCUGUUGGCUUUAGACAUCAAACUGUUCCAGCCAGAUACGAAGCAAGCUUCCAAUGUGAGGGGUUGUGGCGACCUUGGCAAGAUGAAAGGAAUGCAUAUCACUUUCAUCAAAACUCUAAGCAGAAGAGUAGUGUGAUAGCCAUGGGCAAUCCUCACUUCCAAAUAACAGCGUGUCAGGCUGCAGAUGUCUGGGGCAAACGAGGAAUGCGGGUGGUUUAUGUGCCUCUCUGUGUCCAGGCUUCCUCUACGCAUCUGUGUAUAUUCUUGGAACUCAUCGGUGGUAGCUCCCCGGUUUAUGGCUCCCUGAGACAUUAGCUUUCCCUACAACACUUUCCACUCAGCCACAUUCUGCUGUAAUUCAUUCGUGCUUGGUACCCCUCCCCUCUGCGGCCCAGAGUGCACGAGAAUUUGACGAAAGUCUGAUCUCCGUGUGUCAUCUCUCUGAGGAGCUGUUUGUGAUCGCUGAGGAAUGUUUUCCACACGAUUUCUUAGGCUCUCGCCAUCAGCUAAUUGGGCUGCCUUUUGACUCGGAUAUGGUUGAUAAGACUGUCCCUGGUGAACAGGAAAGUUCUGUUAAAAAGCUUUCACAUACUGGCAUUUGUUUGACUCACUUGGGUUUGGGUUUUUUUAAAUAUACUAUGGAAAAUUUUUUUUUAAGUCCAACAUAUUUCACUAAAUUUAUUACUCUAUAAAUAAAAUUGAAACCAUUGAAAAGAGGGGCAGAAGCCAUUAUAUCAACAAAUCAUACCUGGAAACAAGAGGUUUCUGACCUAGGAAUUAAUUGCAACAUCGGAAACUCCGUUAUAUGCCAUGUGUUCCAUUUUAUUUCAUUUUAGUACAAAAACCAAUGUUUUUAAAUGUUAGAAUAUCUGGCAAGGGUAAAGUCUUGUUUCUUUCUAUAAAAUUAAUAUUAACAUGUCUUUUACUAUUUACUACAUCUUUUUAUUUAGCCAACAAAAACAUUUAUCCUUUAGAAAAUUGUAUAGGGCUAAAUAAAAAGUAGGGUGCUUCUCCACCAUAAAACCUUUCUCCUUAGACUUUCCUAGGAAUAUAAAUAAAACACUGGACAACAAGUGUUGGAUUAAAUGGCAUUAAACCAUUUACUGUCUUCUUUAUGAAAUGGUUGAUCCAGGGUCAAGUCUUACUUAAUUUCAAGGGGCUUACUUUGAGACAAAUGGAGAACCUGAAACCACAUAUGAGUCUUGGAUAUUCAUACACUUCUCUCUGUUGUGAAAAUUAAACAUUGAUUUUAACUCAUACUCCUUCUUUAGAAUAUAUUUAACUUUUCUGCCAUUUGUAGGUCUUGCUUUUAAAGAAUGACCUAUUCUUCCACUUUUCUUUACAUAAAAAAGAAACUUCUUGAGUUUUAUUGAAUUAACAAGAAAACAUAUCUUAACACGAUUAUUAAUCAUAUUCCUUACAGUUAAUCCUAAUGCCAACACUUUGGAUUCAAAUUUCCUUACUUUAUUUAUACUAUUAAGCCAAUGAAUGUAGUAAAAAACUGUGUCUUUCAAACGUGUGCCUGUGUUAAUUCUGCCUGCACCGUGAUUAAUGUAGCUUUGCUUUUGCCCAUAUCCUUUUAUCCUAGCUGUAAAACAGAUGAAGUAUCGUCUUGUUUCUGCUACUUAUGAAUGAA